Tetranychus urticae (two-spotted spider mite) is the source of this 1071-nucleotide long non-coding RNA. RefSeq lists it as uncharacterized. The record is from RefSeq and is a predicted model, not a curated record. NCBI's taxonomy places the organism in Eukaryota, Metazoa, Arthropoda, Arachnida, Trombidiformes, Tetranychidae.
GUUAACCAUUAUGAUGAAUAAUUUACCAUGGCCAACGAUUAUCAUUGGUUAAACUGUAAAACCGUUUGAAAGGGUAAAUUUGAUUUUCUGUAGACAUGGCAACAGGUUAACUCACAGUUUAAAACAAAAUCUGGUUUUCUGGUCUUUCCUUCAACUUUUUAACCGUAAUAGCAAUUCAACUUGUCGGUAAUCUAAAUAGUUAAAUACAUUUACAACAAAAACGUAUAAUUAAUUAAGUGAAGUGUUUCAAUUUUUAAAAUCAUCAUCUUUUAAACAAAUUAUAAUUGGUUGUGGUGAAAAUAAGUUAAAUAAAGACAUUAACAAGAGACCGGUUGUUAUGUAAAAGUCAGCAACAAAAAUGGAGGUAAAUGAGAAUUCUAAUGGUUAACUAAUUAACAACUGAGUUGAUCAUCAUCAUCAAUAACAACAGAAUCAUCAUCUAUACCACCGACAACAUGAUCCAAAUCAUCUAAAGCAACACUUUUACCACCAUAAUCAUCAUUAAGUGUAUAUUUUAAUCGGUAAUGGUUCACUUGGCGUAACAAGAUCUGUGUAUCAGCAUUUUCAUGUUUCCAGUUGCCUAUUGGUGUAGCUAUUUUUUUGUUGGUGAAUAUCGUCUGAUUGAAUUCAAGUUAACUGAAUAAUUGUAGACCAAGGAACAAAUACAAAGGAAAACUAGAUAAAAUGAUAAAUUGGAUUAGAGUUUGUAUUUACAAGUCACUUUUCAUUGAAAAUUAAUGGAAAUGAGCAGCUACAGUGAAAGUUAAUCAACAGAAACUAACGAUCAUUAAGGCAAAGUAAGACAAAUUGUGAUAUGAAAAUUUUCCCUUUUUGUCUCUCUCCCUCUCUCUCUUCCUUCUCUUUCUUGUCAUCCUGUUCUUCUCUCUCUCACUUUUCUCUCUGUCUACCGAUUUCUCUCUUUUCUUCCUCUGUCUAUCUGUCAUAAAUGUGAAUAAUGUUCAUGAUUUGAUAAAGCUUCAAUUUAUAAAUCUUAAUCUCGUUGCUUCUUCUUCCACAAUCAGCUUCUUAUUAUCCUCAUCUACAGCAUCAAUUAAAGUCUCAUCAACAUCA